Molecule: ribosomal RNA, 253 nt
Filed under: uncultured bacterium
Lineage: Bacteria
Description: partial 16S ribosomal RNA
Rfam family: Bacterial small subunit ribosomal RNA
Source: RNAcentral
UACGUAGGGACCGAGCGUUGUCCGGAUUCAUUGGGCGUAAAGAGCUCGUAGGCGGCUGCUCAAGUCGAAUGUGAAAACUCGAGGCUCAACCUCGAGCCUGCAUUUGAUACUGGGCGGCUAGAGUCUGGUAGGGGGAUCUGGAAUUCCUGGUGUAGCGGUGGAAUGCGCAGAUAUCAGGAGGAACACCGGUGGCGAAGGCGGGAUCCUGGGCCAGUACUGACGCUGAGGAGCGAAAGCGUGGGGAGCAAACAGG